GAUGAACGCUAGCGGCAGGCUUAACACAUGCAAGUCGAGGGGUAGUGGCAGCAAUGCCAUGAGACCGGCAAACGGGUGCGGAACACGUACACAAUCUACCUUUAUCUGGGGCAUAGCCCGAAGAAAUUCGGAUUAACACCCCAUAAAAUAACAAUCUGCAUCAGAUAAUUAUUAAAUCUCCGGAGGAUAGAGAUGAGUGUGCGUCCCAUUAGCAGUUGGUAGGGUAACGGCCUACCAAGGCGACGAUGGGUAGCUGGUGUGAGAGCACGACCAGCCACACGGGCACUGAGACACGGGCCCGACUCCUACGGAGGCAGCAGUGGGAAUAUUGCGCAAUGGACGAAAGUCUGACGCAGCAACGCCGCGUGGGUGAUGAAGGCC
RNAcentral lists this ribosomal RNA (381 nucleotides) under uncultured bacterium. RNAcentral describes it as "bacterial SSU rRNA". It matches the Rfam family "Bacterial small subunit ribosomal RNA", at positions 28 to 416 of the family's 1533-position model. The record is from RNAcentral.